This 253-nucleotide ribosomal RNA is filed under the name uncultured bacterium. Its description in RNAcentral is "partial 16S ribosomal RNA". It matches the Rfam family "Bacterial small subunit ribosomal RNA", at positions 524 to 776 of the family's 1533-position model. The record is from RNAcentral.
UACAGAGGGUGCGAGCGUUAAUCGGAAUUACUGGGCGUAAAGCGUGCGCAGGCGGCUCCUUAAGUCAGAUGUGAAAGCCCCGGGCUUAACCUGGGAACUGCGUUUGAAACUGGGGAGCUAGAGUGUAGAAGAGGGGGGUGGAAUUCCAGGUGUAGCAGUGAAAUGCGUAGAGAUCUGGAGGAACACCGAUGGCGAAGGCAGCCCCCUGGGCUAACACUGACGCUCAUGCACGAAAGCGUGGGGAGCAAACAGG